AGUGAACGCUGGCGGUAGGCCUAACACAUGCAAGUCGAACGGCAGCACAGGAGAGCUUGCUCUCUAGGUGGCGAGUGGCGGACGGGUGAGGAAUACAUCGGAAUCUGCCCAGUCGUGGGGGAUAACGUAGGGAAACUUACGCUAAUACCGCAUACGACCUUCGGGUGAAAGAGGGGGAUCGCAAGACCUCUCGCGAUUGGAUGAGCCGAUGUCGGAUUAGCUAGUUAGCGGGGUAAUGGCCCACCAAGGCGACGAUCCGUAGCUGGUCUGAGAGGAUGAUCAGCCACACUGGAACUGAGACACGGUCCAGACUCCUACGGGAAGCAGCAGUGGGGAAUAUUGGACAAUGGGCGCAAGCCUGAUCCAGCCAUACCGCGUGGGUGAAGAAGGCCUUCGGGUUGUAAAGCCCUUUUGUUGGGAAAGAAAUCUUUCAGGCUAAUACCCUGGGAGGAUGACGGUACCCAAAGAAUAAGCACCGGCUAACUUCGUG
RNAcentral lists this ribosomal RNA (490 nucleotides) under uncultured bacterium. RNAcentral's name for it is "partial 16S ribosomal RNA". It matches the Rfam family "Bacterial small subunit ribosomal RNA", at positions 29 to 507 of the family's 1533-position model. The record is from RNAcentral.